AUGAUUUAAAAUAUCAAAUAUGAAAAUGUAGAAGUGUAUAGGACAGUUCUCUUUGUUUCAUAGUUUCCAGUAGGUCCACAAAUUUCAACGUUAACUGUGUUGCUGCUAGUGAAAUAGUUUAGACUUUUAGCCACAAGACUAGCCGGUAUCUCAAAUAUAAUGGAACAGAAUACUCAGCUGUCUUUCUUUUCUUGCUGCCAUAGCUACUGGAAUUGCAGUAGGAGGAGAGUGUAUAGCAUCCUUAGUGUCAAGACUUGCAAAGCUGGAAUUCCUGUUAGAGUUCUUAGCCAUUGGCAGUACUAAAAAGGCACAAAGAAGCUCUGUCGUUCUCCAUGCUCUGUGCCUAUGCAGGAGACCAUCAUGUUUCUACCUCUGUACAUGCUGGUUUUUGUGGAAUACACAACUCCAGUGUUUUUUCUACAUACACUUCUCCUUUCUCCUUUCAUUUGCAGUAUUAUGUUUUAAAAUUUAUAUGUGCUUAUCUGAAAAUACCAGUGCAUCCAAGCCUCCUUUUAUGACACAUCAAAUUAGUCAUUAUAUUUGAAAUUUACACAAGUGAAUUGAAAGGCAGAAACAUAUUGAUCAAUGCAGCUAUGUACAGUACAAUACCUGAUGAACAUUUAGGGUUGUGGUGUAGGUUAGUUAGUUCCGUGUUUUCAUAUGGUGGGUAUUCUUUCAUCAAGAUAGUAUGUUAAUGUAUUUUGGAAACUCACAGGGAGAAAAGAUCUUGGAAACAGGCUGAAGCACAUUCCUAUUAUGAUGAACAAAUACAGGAAGAGGUAAAAAAAAAAAAAA
Long non-coding RNA from Oxyura jamaicensis (ruddy duck), 795 nucleotides. RefSeq lists it as uncharacterized. The transcript has 2 exons. The record is from RefSeq and is a predicted model, not a curated record. Lineage: Eukaryota; Metazoa; Chordata; Aves; Anseriformes; Anatidae.